This 399-nucleotide ribosomal RNA is filed under the name Salmonella enterica subsp. enterica serovar Enteritidis. RNAcentral's name for it is "partial 23S ribosomal RNA". It matches the Rfam family "Bacterial large subunit ribosomal RNA", at positions 855 to 1251 of the family's 2925-position model. The record is from RNAcentral. Lineage: Bacteria; Pseudomonadati; Pseudomonadota; Gammaproteobacteria; Enterobacterales; Enterobacteriaceae.
CUCCCCGAAAGCUAUUUAGGUAGCGCCUCGUGAAUUCAUCUCCGGGGGUAGAGCACUGUUUCGGCUAGGGGGCCAUCCCGGCUUACCAACCCGAUGCAAACUGCGAAUACCGGAGAAUGUUAUCACGGGAGACACACGGCGGGUGCUAACGUCCGUCGUGAAGAGGGAAACAACCCAGACCGCCAGCUAAGGUCCCAAAGUCAUGGUUAAGUGGGAAACGAUGUGGGAAGGCCCAGACAGCCAGGAUGUUGGCUUAGAAGCAGCCAUCAUUUAAAGAAAGCGUAAUAGCUCACUGGUCGAGUCGGCCUGCGCGGAAGAUGUAACGGGGCUAAACCAUGCACCGAAGCUGCGGCAGCGACGCUUAUGCGUUGUUGGGUAGGGGAGCGUUCUGUAAGCCUG